This is a long non-coding RNA of Eriocheir sinensis (Chinese mitten crab), 2853 nucleotides long. RefSeq lists it as uncharacterized. Lineage: Eukaryota; Metazoa; Arthropoda; Malacostraca; Decapoda; Varunidae. The transcript is spliced from 2 exons. The record is from RefSeq and is a predicted model, not a curated record.
GGGAAGGGAGGAGCUCGGUGAGAUAUGAUGCUCUCCUUACGUGGGCACUUUCUUACCUUACCUUACCUUAACUGUACCUCUGACUGACUCACUGAUUCACUGCCUGGCUUACACAUAUUUAGCUCCAAUUUUUCUUUUUUCUAUUUGGUUCUCAGUUAAUUUUAGUUCAUUUUACCCCUGACUGACUAACUGAUUCAUUGCCUGACUUCCUACACAUGGUUACAGUAUCUGGUUCCAAUCUUUCUUUUUUUCUGUUUUGGUUCUCAGUUCAUUUCAGUUAAUUUUACCACUAACUGACUGACUGAUUCAUUGCCUGACUUCCUACACAUGGCUGCAAUAUCAAGUUCUAAUCUUUCUUGUUUCUAUUUUGGUUAUCAGUAAAUUUCCCUACACUUAACUAACCUAUUAAUUAUAUAUACAAACACCCUCAAGCAAUAUAUACACUUCUUCAAACGUUCCAUAACCUACAUAUAUACAUACAUACAUACAUUCCUAUCUUCAGUGCUGCCAUAAUUCACCUCACAAUAAAUAAAUAAAUAAAUAGCUUAGUAACAUCAAGACAAGUGCAAGACAGUAACAAAAAACAAAAAAACAGUUUGACUUGGAGGCGGCGUCAGGCCGGUCGGCAAGUCAGCAUGCAAGGCUAAGGUUACCAGAUUGUCGUACUUGCCGUGUUUUUGACGAUUUCUGACCAAAAACCAUCGCACCCACAUAGAUAACGAUAUGUGUUUAAAAUUAUCGUUAAAAUCAGUAAUUAUUGAUGGUCUUUUUUGCAAUAUUUAUGGGGGAGAAUCCGGAAAAAAAAAUGUUGUGCGAUUUCUGACCAAAAAACAUCGGACCAGAAAGAUUAUGACAUGCAUUUAUAAUCACUGUUAAAAUCGGAAAUUACUAAUGCUCUCUUUUGCAAUAUUUACGGGGCGGAAACUUGAAAAUACAAUGUUGUGGGUACGAUAAUCUGUUUUGGCGAUUUCUGACCAAAAACUCGCAUCCAGAAAGAUAGCGAUAUGCAUUUAUAAUCACUGUUAAAAUCGGAAAUUACUAAUGCUCUCUUUUGCAAUAUUUAUGGGCCAGAAACCAGGCUACCAGUGAAGGCAAAAUCCCUGACAAUCACAGCGGACAGGUUAACCUUCCCUUCUGUGAACCCGCACCCAAAUCUGCCAUCCCAAACCACCUUUCCCAUGGCACCCAGGUCUCCGUGUCCCCCUUACCUGUGGUCCCCAGGUCUCAAAAUCAAGCUUAUCUAUGGUCCCUGGGUCUCAAAAUUAAGGUUAUCUAUGGUCCCUGGAUCUCAAAAUUAAGGUUAUCUGUGGUCCCCAGGUCUCAAAAUCAAGCUUAUCUAUGGUCCCUGGGUCUCAAAAUUAAGGUUAUCUAUGGUCCCUGGAUCUCAAAAUUAAGGUUAUCUGUGGUCCCCGGGUCUCAAAAUCAAGCUUAUCUAUGGUCCCUGGGUCUCAAAAUCAAGCUUAUCUAUGGUCCCUGGGUCUCAAAAUUAAGGUUAUCUAUGGUCCCCGGGUCUCAAAAUCAAAUACAAUGUUGUGCGUACGAUAAUCUGUAACGUUGGGCAAGACUAGGCUGAUGUGUACGAUAAUCUGGAAACGUUGGGCAAGACUAGGCUGGUGCGUACGAUAAUCUGGAAACGUUGGGCAAGACUAGGCUGGUGCGUACGAUAAUCUGGAAACGUUGGGCAAGACUAGGCUGGUGCGUACGAUAAUCUGGAAACGUUGGGCAAGACUAGGCUGGUGCAUACGAUAAUCUGUAACGUUGAGCAAGACUAGGCUGGUGCGUACGAUAAUCUGGUAACGUUGGGCAAGACUAGGCUGGUGUGUACGAUAAUCUGUAACGUUGAGCAAGACUAGGCUGGUGCGUACGAUAAUCUGGUAACGUUGGGCAAGACUAGGCUGGUGUGUACGAUAAUCUGGAAACGUUGGGAAAGACUAGGCUGGUGCGUACGAUAAUCUGGAAACGUUGGGAAAGACUAGGCUGGUGUGUACGAUAAUCUGGUAACGUUGGGAAAGACUAGGCUGGUGUGUACGAUAAUCUGGUAACGUUGAGCAAGACUAGGCUGGUGUGUACGAUAAUCUGGAAACGUUGGGAAAGACUAGGCUGGUGUGUACGAUAAUCUGGAAACGUUGAGCAAGACUAGGCUGGUGUGUACGAUAAUCUGGUAACGUUGAGCAAGACUAGGCUGGUGUGUACGAUAAUCUGGAAACGUUGGGAAAGACUAGGCUGGUGUGUACGAUAAUCUGGAAACGUUGGGAAAGACUAGGCUGGUGCGUACGAUAAUCUGGAAACGUUGGGAAAGACUAGGCUGGUGUGUACGAUAAUCUGGUAACGUUGGGAAAGACUAGGCUGGUGUGUACGAUAAUCUGGUAACGUUGGGAAAGACUAGGCUGGUGUGUACGAUAAUCUGGAAACGUUGGGAAAGACUAGGCUGGUGUGUACGAUAAUCUGGUAACGUUGAGCAAGACUAGGCUGGUGUGUACGAUAAUCUGGUAACGUUGGGCAAGACUAGGCUGGUGCGUACGAUAAUCUGUAACGUUGAGCAAGACUAGGCUGGUGUGUACGAUAAUCUGUAAUGUUGAGCAAGACUAGGCUGGUGUGUACGAUAAUCUGUAACGUUGAGCAAGACUAGGCUGGUGCGUACGAUAAUCUGUAACGUUGAGCAAGACUAGGCUGGUGUGUACGAUAAUCUGUAACGUUGAGCAAGACUAGGCUGGUGUGUACGAUAAUCUGGUAACAUUGGGCAAGACUAGGCUGCAGCAAGAUCAAAAACUGGCAAGUGUUGUCGAUAACGUACAUGUAAUACCUUGGGGAUCUUGGCGGGCGGCUCCCAGUCCAGCAGCUCACAGUUCUUCU